CCCGCAGGCCCCAGCCGCCAAGUCGUUGCUGGGGAAGUGGGCGCAGGCCGCCCUCUCUCCGUGAGCCCACUCGCCACAACCCGCAGGGCCCUGGGGGACUUGGUGGAUCCAACCACAGAAGACCAUGAGACACAGGCGGCCUCGCCGAGAUCUGCCGCUUAGAGCUGUUUCUCUUCCUCACGGCCCCCCUGGCUCCCUGCAGGCCUGGCCUCCUAUCUCCCUCAGGCCAUCAGCCCAGGGACCCCCAGCCCAGGGACCCCCAGCCCAGGCACCCCACCCAUGCUCUGAGCUGUGGGCCUGAAACCCGCCCUCCUAGCAGGGAGCCUGGCUGCGCCCCAGGCAGCUUCUGCUUGGAGCUCCGUGGAAGGAAAUGCCCUCAGGUUCCCAGGCACUGAGCCUCCCCUCCCGCUAACCCCAUCAGGGGUAUAGCAGAACCGUGGUGCUCAGCCUGCCUCUCUCUGCCUGGGCAGGACCGUGGAGCCCACGCGUGUCCUCUCUCCUGUCCCCAGAUGGAAGCCGGCAGGUGGGGCCCUAGCAGGGCACAUGCUCGACGUGUGGGUGGAUGAGGACCCGGUGGGGUCAGGUCUGGGGCAGCGGGACAGGGUCUCCAGGACGGGGCCUGGCUGCAGAUAGGCGGGAGAACGGCUGCUGGUUCCCUGAGGCCACUGGGGAGCCAAGAUGCAGUCCCCGAGGGGUUUCCAGGGAGCAGCCACUGGGCUGGGCAGCUGGGAGCAGGGGCAGAGAGAGCUGGGGCUGAGUCCUGGCCUGCCCCCUGGGGACUCCUGGGCUGUAAGGCAGGGGUGGGCAGGGCCUGGACCCUUGUUGGGGGCCCCUCCCUGGCUGUGGUCCACCUCAGGAGCCAAGGAGGCUGGGGGGCUGGUGUGGGCAGCUACCUUUGUUCCCCACGGGUCCUCAGGAAGGCGGCCCCACAGACUGAGGAGGCCCUGCUGGCCCUGGAGCUGUGUUCGGAGCCCCCACAGCCUGGCUCCUGGCUCUGGUUGCCGUGGGCGGGAGGUGGAAGUACAAGGAGAAGGAGUGUCCAGCAUUUUCACGAGUGCCACCGCCAGAGGCCAAGCUGGGGACAAGAGGGCAGCCAGGCACCACCCUGGCCCCAGGCAGACUCCCCAGGGCUCGCUGAAGGGCCGGCAGCCCUGGGCCUGGCAGCUCCCCUUGCAAGCCCCAGCUGGGGGCUCUGUCAUCCGGGAGGCCCUGGGCCUGACCUUCGCCGGCUGCCCCUGGGCCUGGAGGCAGGACACGAAGGGGCUGAUGGGUCUGUGGUCAGCCCUGAGCACAGUUUGCUGAGCUGUGGUCUUGCUGAGCCAGCCCACAGGCCCAGCGACUCCUGGCUUACUCAGCCCAGGCCUGAGGCUCCCAGGGAAGGCCAGGCCAGGCUGUGCAGGAACCUGCCUAUGGGGCUGGGCACCUGGCCCUCCAGGAAGGCCUGCCUUCGAGGAGCUGCUCUGCACAGCUGGUCUCGACACCCCCCUAGGCACCAGGAGCGAAGAGGGAGAGGCUUUGGGAAGGAGACACAGGUCAGACUCCAUCUUCCAUGGCAGCAACUGGCUUGAUGCUCUCUUUCGGUGUCAUCUUCGCUUGGUAACCAUGGGUGGAAGGAAAGGAGGAACGGCCACUGCUCCCUUGUUUGGAGGUCAAAGGAACAGGAGGGGCACAGGGAGGUCCGGAGGAGCCCAGCAGAGCCCCUGCCCAGCCUGGGAGGAGGCCUCAGCCCAGCUCAUGUCCCGCUGUGUUGGCAGUCAGACGGUCACAUGGCAUGGCCACCCUGGCCCCAAAGCCGAGAGCUUACAGAAAAGUCAGCCUCGAUGGACGGCAAGAUGCACCUGUCAGCCAUGAAGGAGCCCCCCGAGGUGCAGACCCCCACAUCCGCCGUACCCCUGUGGAGAAAACAGCGCUGGAUUUCCUGUGGUGGGUUUUGUGACUUUGAAAGCCAGGCUGCUGAUUGGGAAUUAAAUCCCAGAGGACGCCGCUCAACACACUGGAAACCCAGCAGCUGCUGCUGUUCCCAGCAAUUUUUCUCUCUCUAAAUUGAA
Long non-coding RNA from Pan troglodytes (chimpanzee), 2048 nucleotides. RefSeq lists it as uncharacterized. NCBI's taxonomy places the organism in Eukaryota, Metazoa, Chordata, Mammalia, Primates, Hominidae. The record is from RefSeq and is a predicted model, not a curated record. The transcript has 4 exons.